UUUAAAUAUUUAUAUUAGAUUCAGUCCCCUUUAACAACAUGAUAUAUAUGUUUAGUGCAGAAUGUGCGGAUUUAGGAAGUCUAUAGACGCUAGAGUAUAACAAAAAUCGACCUUUACCAUUAAAAAUUUGUAGCUUUUUAUGUGAUUUUUAUUGCCUUAGAAAAAUGGCUGCCAAACAUUUUGAAAAGUUUUAAAGCAUUAGUAUUUUUACAUUUAUAAAAUGCCCUUUUCAUGAUAUGAAAAGAAGUCAUACUUUUCAUCAAGGUCCAUGGUGUAGAGACUUCAAACAUAAAUAGAUAAGAGGGAUUUUCCCAAAUUUCCCAAAAUUUCCCAAAAAUUUCUCAAUUUUCCCCAUUUCAUAAGAAAAAAUCAUAAAUUUUUCUCAAAAUAAGUAGCUAUGCCACACGAAAGCUGUUUUUCCUGACACAGAUAAACAAAAUUAAAUCCCAUCUGAUGAUGCUGGCGAUAAAUGAAACGAUCAUUGAGAAAACUGAUGCCAAAAUUGAAAUUGAAUGUAUUUUAUCUUGUGUGAAAGCACCUUGCUGUCGGUCUAUCAACUAUAGGAUUGGGUUUGGCCAAAGAUGCAUAAAGUAAAUUUUAGAAAAAGAGAGAAAGUAACAAAAAUCCAAACGCAGGGUCCUGAGAAGAACAACCGUAAUCAAUAUGUGAGGACAUAUGCUUUGUCAUAUUCCGAUGACGGAGACAUUAUUAAACAUUACAAAAACGAAGGAGGAGGAAGGGAUCUUGAUGGUAAAACCAAAUUGUAAAGAAGAAACUUUGCCCAGUCAUCAUUUAUCAGUACAUUCGUAUUCAUCCAAUGUUGUGGAACAGACAUAUAUCGACGAGACUGGAAUGUUUUUGAUGCUUGCAUAAUUAAAACAGAUCUAAAUAAAGUACGUAGAAUCAUACUAAUAUUCUAUAGCAAUUGAUUUAAAAUGGCCACUUUACUCAUAUGUACUUAGAAUUAGAUAGGGAGAAGUGAUACAACAUAUAGCUAUUAGCGACAAAAUAGAUAGUAAGUUGAAAAUAAAUGGCUUUCAAUCUUGU
Long non-coding RNA from Xenia sp. Carnegie-2017, 1047 nucleotides. RefSeq lists it as uncharacterized. The transcript is spliced from 2 exons. Lineage: Eukaryota; Metazoa; Cnidaria; Anthozoa; Malacalcyonacea; Xeniidae. The record is from RefSeq and is a predicted model, not a curated record.